RNAcentral lists this ribosomal RNA (1175 nucleotides) under uncultured Geminigera. RNAcentral's name for it is "partial Bacterial small subunit ribosomal RNA". It matches the Rfam family "Bacterial small subunit ribosomal RNA", at positions 248 to 1422 of the family's 1533-position model. Lineage: Eukaryota; Cryptophyceae; Pyrenomonadales; Geminigeraceae. The record is from RNAcentral.
GUUGGAAAAAUAAUAGCUAACAAAGCCGAUGAUCCUUAAUUGGUCUGAGAGGACGUACAAUCACACUAGAACUGAGACAAGGUCUAGACAUCUAAGGAUGGCAGCAGUGGGGAAUCUUGAACAAUGAGCGAAAGCUUGAUUCAGCGAUAUAGAGUGAAUGAUGAAAGCCAUUAGGUUGUAAAGUUCUUUUACCAAGAAAGAUUCUGACUUUACUUGGAGAAAAAGCCCUGGCAAAUUUCGUGCCAGCAGCCGCGGUGAUACGAAAAGGGCUAGUGUUAUUCGGAAUAAUUGGGUGUAAAGGGUGAGUAGGCUGUAAUCAUAGUUAAUUCUUAAAUCUUAGUAGUAAUUACUAAAUCAAUUAUUAAAAACAAAUUACUAGAGUAAAAGAGAGGAUUGUAGAAUUUCAAGUGGAGAAAUAAAAUUCGUAGAUUUUUGAAGGAAUAUCGAAAGCGAAGGCAACAAUCUGGCUUUAUACUGACGCUGAUUCACGAAAGCUUAGGUAGCAACCAGGAUUAGAGACCCUGUUAGUCUAAGCUGUAAACUAUGGAUACUCAUUUUUGGACAAUAAAUGUUCGGAAGUUUAGCUAACGCGUUAAGUAUCCCACCUGAGAAGUACAGUGGCAACGCUGAAACUCAAAGGAAUUGACGGGGAUUUAUACAAUUCGUGGAACAUGUAGUUUAAUUCGUAAAUACACGCAAAACCUUACCAACCUUUGUAUAAUUUUAUGUUCUAAUGAAGAAAUUUGUUAUGUUAAAAAUUACAGGUGCUGCAUGGCUGUCGUCAGCUCGUGUCUUGAGAUGUUAGGUUAAGUCCAGUAACGAGCGAAACCCUUUUUCUUUGUUGCAAAAGAUUUUUUAUUCAGUUAAAUUAAUUGAGUUAUAUUCAUGCACUCAAAGAGUAUUGCCUACGAUAUGUAGGAUGAAAGAAAGGAUGACGUCAAGUCUUCAUGGCCCUUAUAGGUUGGGCUACAUAUGUGUUACAACGAUAACAACAAUAAGUUGCAAUAAUGAAAAUUGAAGCAAAUCUAGAAAAGUUAUCUUAGUUCAGAUUGUUUUCUGUAACUCGAAAACAUGAAGUUGGAAUGAAUAGUAAUCGUUUAUCAGCAAGGAACGGUGAAUUUUGUACCUAAAUCUUGUACAUACCGCCCGUCACAUCGAGAGAGUUUAUCUAAUUU